UAUCAUCUCCCCUUAAACCAUUAGCCAAAUGACUCUUUCCUUGUUUAAAUUGCUUCUGUCAAGGGUGCUGUCACAAUGACAUAUACAAGAACUAACACAGGGAGAUGGGUUAGAAUUCAAUAAAUGACAAAGAGAAACAUAGACUGCACUCAAGAGGAUGAAAUCUGGUCCUUACACACAGAGUGAACUCAAAUGGAUAAAGGACUUAAAACUGAAAAGCCUGAUGUUACAGUUCAGGCUCAAGGACCAUUGCAGAAGAGGAGGUGGGAAGAUCACAGGGGCCAAA
Molecule: long non-coding RNA, 286 nt
Organism: Mastomys coucha (southern multimammate mouse)
Lineage: Eukaryota; Metazoa; Chordata; Mammalia; Rodentia; Muridae
Exons: 3
Source: RefSeq, a predicted model, not a curated record